RNAcentral lists this ribosomal RNA (253 nucleotides) under uncultured bacterium. RNAcentral's name for it is "partial 16S ribosomal RNA". It matches the Rfam family "Bacterial small subunit ribosomal RNA", at positions 524 to 776 of the family's 1533-position model. The record is from RNAcentral.
UACAGAGGUCUCAAGCGUUGUUCGGAUUCAUUGGGCGUAAAGGGUGCGUAGGUGGCGCUGUAAGUCAGGUGUGAAAUUUCGGAGCUUAACUCCGAAACUGCAUUUGAUACUGCGGUGCUCGAGGACUGGAGAGGAGACUGGAAUUUACGGUGUAGCAGUGAAAUGCGUAGAGAUCGUAAGGAAGACCAGUGGCGAAGGCGGGUCUCUGGACUAGAACUGACGCUCAUGCACGAAAGCGUGGGGAGCAAACAGG